Molecule: ribosomal RNA, 459 nt
Filed under: uncultured bacterium
Lineage: Bacteria
Description: partial 16S ribosomal RNA
Rfam family: Bacterial small subunit ribosomal RNA
Source: RNAcentral
CCUACGGGUGACAGCAGUGAGGAAUAUUGGUCAAUGGUCGGGAGACUGAACCAGCCAAGCCGCGUGAGGGAUGAAGGUACAGAGUAUCGUAAACCUCUUUUGUCAGGGAACAAAGGCGGGGACGUGUCCCCGGCUGAGUGUACCUGAAGAACAAGCAUCGGCUAACUCCGUGCCAGCAGCCGCGGUAAUACGGGGGAUGCGAGCUUUAUCCGGAUUUAUUGGGUUUAAAGGGUGCGCAGGCGGUCUGUUAAGUCAGCGGUCAAAGCCCGGGGCUCAACCCCGGCCCGCCGUUGAAACUGGCAGUCUCGAGUUGGAGAGAAGUAUGCGGAAUGCGCGGUGUAGCGGUGAAAUGCAUAGAUAUCGCGCAGAACUCCGAGUGCGAAGGCAGCAUGCCGGCUCCACACUGACGCUGAGGCACGAAAGCGUGGGUAUCGAACAGGAUUAGAUACCCUUGUAGUC